This 2008-nucleotide long non-coding RNA is filed under the name Homo sapiens (human). Its description in RNAcentral is "HSALNT0339844". Lineage: Eukaryota; Metazoa; Chordata; Mammalia; Primates; Hominidae. The record is from RNAcentral.
UUCUUUAUAAAUUACCCAGUCUGGGGCAGUUCUUUAUAGCAGUAUGAAAAUGGACUAAUACACCUUGUCUUCAGAAAGACUUUCCCUAGAUGCUCAGCACACCUGCUAAAUUUCUCCAGUGUGUUGACAUUAGAGCAGCCUUGUCCAAUAGAGCUUUCUAAGAUGAUGGAAUGUUCUAUGUCUGCACCAUUCAAUACGGCAACUACUAGCCACGUGUGGCUAUUGAGCACUUGAAAUGUGGCCAGUGUGACUGAGGAACUGAAUUUUUUUUUUAGCUUUAAUUAAGUGUCAAUAGCCACACAUAGCUAGUGGCCAGCAUACUGGACAGGUCGAAUUUAGAAACUCUUCUUUCUGCCACUGUUGACUAUGACAAAAGAAUGAGUCAUAGAGAGGAAUGGACUUCUCCCAUUCUACUGGGGCAGCCUGGAGAACACUUGGGCUUCGAAGACCACUUCCCUCUGCUCCCCAGGGCCUUCCCCACUGGCUUCAGAGGCGUGACUGAGGGCAAGAAGGAAGAGCCAAGAUUCUGUCUACAUGUGUGAUCGACAAUGUUAAUUCUCAUAUUGUACAUUGUGCCAUCUCUCCCUGAACUUUAUUGAUGUUUUGAAGCAAAACAACCAUUUACUCCUCUCCUAAAGAUUCCAGUUAAUGAGGUGCGCACAGGCCCCUUUGCAGAGCGCCAGCCAUUUCCAGGGAGGCACAGUGGUAGCAUUUCAGUGCCGUUCUGCUCAGGAAAGACGACCAAACAGCCCUCCUGCCCUCACCUUUGCACACCACACAUCUCAGCUUCAACUCGCCAUCACGGUGGUCCCAGGCACGGUCGCUGCAACAUCAGAAGGGCGGCAUUUCAGCAAGCAUUUGUUUUUGGGGUAGGGGUAGUGGUAAUUACCAGCACAUGAUUAUUUUAUUUUGUCUGAAUUAUUUACAAUGGAAGGAAGCAGUUUGGAGGGAAGGGGAUAUUAGGGAAUGAGUUCAAUCCCACUUGCAUUGAUUCUACCCAGAGCAAGAAGAGCAAGCCUAUUGAGAAGAAAAAUCACUUCCUUUUCUUCCUCUUUCCUCUCCACCCCUAAGUCUUAGAAAUAAAUAAAUAAUGCAAAGAAAAGCCCUGGGUGGCUGCAUGGGAGGGGCCAGUGGCUGGGUGUCUGUGGCCUUCACUGAGGACUCACUUCCAUUAUUACAUCGGGUCCUGGGCUGGAGCGUUCAGUGGUUCAAUUCUUGCUCCCCAGCACUCAUCUUGCAUGUUGGUGCAUAAUGAACACCACGUAUGGAUUGAAAUCCCAUUUACAGGAUGUUCAGUUACGGAACCUGUAAUCAGGAGAGGUGGGUUUUAAUCCCAGAGGUGUCGUUCCCUUAUUGUUUUUUAAAUUUAAGAUUUAUAGUUCUCCAACUUCCAAAAGAACUUGCUGAUGUUUUAUAGCAGCAAAGGUGGUGAAUGAGAGAAAACAGAAGAGAAGCCAUCUGAAGAAAGCAGGACAUGUUGAUGCUUCCAGGCACCAGAGUGGCCAUAACAGUUGGGUAAUAGGCUCAUGGUUGUGCUUCCAUUUCUUUUUUGUCAAAUAGGGAAAGCAAACCCACCUCCUGCUGUGUGAGGUAACAGGUAGAGUAAUGUUUGUGAGAAGAGGCAUCCAUAUCAUUUUGGCAUGAUAUUGCAUUUCUAAAUUUAAAAAAAAAAAUGUCAAUAGAGGCAGAACAUCUCAUGACCUAAUCCCACUGCAAAUCCCUGAAGAGAAAUACUCACAGAAUAGUGCCCUGGCACACUGAAGAUGAGAAACUGGGGCUGCAAGUGCCACCUGAGAGAAAUGGGGGUGCUUUUAUUCAUUUUUUUCUUCAAUGAAUAACUUUUGAAUAAAAUGUUAACAUACUUACCAACUCAUAAUAUAUAUGAAUUUUAAGACUUUGCAAUAAAAUGGAUGUCUAUGUAUCUACCCACCUAAAUUAAGAAAUAUGUAAUUACUGGCCAGGUGUGGUGGCUCAUGCUUGUAAUUCCAGUGCUUUGGGAGGCCAAGGA